UACUGACACUGAGUGCGAAAGCGUGGGAGCAAACGGGAUUAGAUACCCCGGUAGUCACGCCGUAAACGAUGUCUACUAGCCGUUGGAGGACUUGAUCCUUUAGUGGCGCAGCUAACGCGAUAAGUAGACCGCCUGGGGAGUACGGUCGCAAGAUUAAAACUCAAAUGAAUUGACGGGGGCCCGCACAAGCGGUGGAGCAUGUGGUUUAAUUCGAAGCAACGCGAAGAACCUUACCUACUCUUGACAUCCAGUGAACUUUUGAGAGAUCAAUUGGUGCCUUCGGGAACACUGAGACAGGUGCUGCAUGGCUGUCGUCAGCUCGUGUUGUGAAAUGUUGGGUUAAGUCCCGUAACGAGCGCAACCCUUGUCCUUAGUUACCAUCAUUAAGUUGGGGACUCUAAGGAGACUGCCGGUGGCAAACCGGAGGAAGGCGGGGACGACGUCAAGUCAUCAUGGCCCUUACGAGUAGGGCUACACACGUGCUACAAUGGCAUGUACAAAGGGUUGCCAAGCCGCGAGGUGGAGCUAAUCCCAUAAAGCAUGUCGUAGUCCGGAUUGGAGUCUGCAACUCGACUCCAUGAAGUCGGAAUCGCUAGUAAUCGUGAAUCAGAAUGUCACGGUGAAUACGUUCCCGGGCCUUGUACACACCGCCCGUCACACCAUGGGAGUGGGUUGCUCCAGAAGUAGAUAGCUUAACCUUCGGGAGGGCGUUUACCACGGAGUGAUUCAUGACUGGGGUGAAGUCGUAACAAGGUAGCCGUA
This 762-nucleotide ribosomal RNA is filed under the name uncultured bacterium. Its description in RNAcentral is "bacterial SSU rRNA". It matches the Rfam family "Bacterial small subunit ribosomal RNA", at positions 738 to 1504 of the family's 1533-position model. The record is from RNAcentral.